CGCUGGCGGCGUGCUUAACACAUGCAAGUCGAACGGGAUCCAUCGGGCUUGCUUGGUGGUGAGAGUGGCGAACGGGUGAGUAAUGCGUGACCGACCUGCCCCAUACACCGGAAUAGCUCCUGGAAACGGGUGGUAAUGCCGGAUGUUCCAGUUGAUCGCAUGGUCUUCUGGGAAAGCUUUCGCGGUAUGGGAUGGGGUCGCGUCCUAUCAGCUUGACGGCGGGGUAACGGCCCACCGUGGCUUCGACGGGUAGCCGGCCUGAGAGGGCGACCGGCCACAUUGGGACUGAGAUACGGCCCAGACUCCUACGGGAGGCAGCAGUGGGGAAUAUUGCACAAUGGGCGCAAGCCUGAUGCAGCGACGCCGCGUGAGGGAUGGAGGCCUUCGGGUUGUAAACCUCUUUAUCGGGGAGCCAAGCGUGAGUGAGUUUACCCUUUGAAUAAGCACCGGCUAACUAACGUGCCAGCAGCCGCGG
This 475-nucleotide ribosomal RNA is filed under the name Bifidobacterium longum subsp. longum. RNAcentral describes it as "bacterial SSU rRNA". It matches the Rfam family "Bacterial small subunit ribosomal RNA", at positions 34 to 520 of the family's 1533-position model. Lineage: Bacteria; Bacillati; Actinomycetota; Actinomycetes; Bifidobacteriales; Bifidobacteriaceae. The record is from RNAcentral.